RNAcentral lists this ribosomal RNA (207 nucleotides) under uncultured bacterium. Its description in RNAcentral is "partial 16S ribosomal RNA". It matches the Rfam family "Bacterial small subunit ribosomal RNA", at positions 29 to 233 of the family's 1533-position model. The record is from RNAcentral.
AACGAACGCUGGCGGCGUGGAUUAGGCAUGCAAGUCGAACGCGAAAGGGGAGCAAUCCCUGAGUAGAGUGGCGAACUGGUGAGUAACAGGUGGGCAAUGUGCCCCAAAGUGGGGGAUAACUCCGAGAAAUCGGAGCUAAUACCGCAUAAGGCGUCGAGGACUUUGGUUCAUGACGUUAAAGGAGCAAUUCGCUUUGGGAUCGGCCCG